CCUACGGGAGGCAGCAGUGAGGAAUUUUGGGCAAUGGGCGAAAGCCUGACCCAGCGACACCGCGUGGGGGAUUGAAGGCCUUCGGGUCGUAAACCCCUGUCAGGGGGAACGAAGCCCCGAUGUUUCCCAUCGGGGUGACGGUACCUCCAGAGGAAGCCUCGGCUAACUACGUGCCAGCAGCCGCGGUAAUACGUAGGUGGCGAGCGUUACUCGGAAUCACUAGGCGUAAAGCGCGUGUAGGCGGUAUUUUAAGUCUGUUGUAAAAUCUUAUGGCUCAACCAUAAAAUGUCGACAGAUACUGAAGUACUAGAGUGAGGCAGGGGAAACUGGAAUUCCAGGUGUAGCGGUGAAAUGUGUAGAUAUCUGGAAGAACGCCAAAGGCGAAGGCAGGUUUCUGGGCCUUUACUGACGCUGAGACGCGAAAGCAAGGGGAGCAAACAGGAUUAGAUACCCCUGUAGU
Molecule: ribosomal RNA, 460 nt
Filed under: uncultured bacterium
Lineage: Bacteria
Description: partial 16S ribosomal RNA
Rfam family: Bacterial small subunit ribosomal RNA
Source: RNAcentral